UGAGGAAUAUUGGACAAUGGGCGCAAGCCUGAUCCAGCCAUGCCGCGUGCAGGAUGAAGGCCUUCGGGUUGUAAACUGCUUUUGUACGGAACGAAAAGACUCCUUCUAAUAAAGGGGGUCCAUGACGGUACCGUAAGAAUAAGCACCGGCUAACUACGUGCCAGCAGCCGCGGUAAUACGUAGGGUGCGAGCGUUAAUCGGAAUUACUGGGCGUAAAGCGUGCGCAGGCGGUUAUAUAAGACAGAUGUGAAAUCCCCGGGCUCAACCUGGGAACUGCAUUUGUGACUGUAUAGCUAGAGUACGGCAGAGGGGGAUGGAAUUCCACGUGUAGCAGUGAAAUGCGUAGAUAUGCGGAGGAACACCGAUGGCGAAGGCAAUCCCCUGGGCCUGUACUGACGCUCAUGCACGAAAGCGUGGGGAGCAAACA
Molecule: ribosomal RNA, 427 nt
Filed under: uncultured bacterium
Lineage: Bacteria
Description: bacterial SSU rRNA
Rfam family: Bacterial small subunit ribosomal RNA
Source: RNAcentral